Molecule: ribosomal RNA, 951 nt
Filed under: Pediococcus pentosaceus
Lineage: Bacteria; Bacillati; Bacillota; Bacilli; Lactobacillales; Lactobacillaceae
Description: bacterial SSU rRNA
Rfam family: Bacterial small subunit ribosomal RNA
Source: RNAcentral
UNCNGNUUUAUUGGGCGUAAGCGAGCGCAGGCGGUCUUUUAAGUCUAAUGUGAAAGCCUUCGGCUCAACCGAAGAAGUGCAUUGGAAACUGGGAGACUUGAGUGCAGAAGAGGACAGUGGAACUCCAUGUGUAGCGGUGAAAUGCGUAGAUAUAUGGAAGAACACCAGUGGCGAAGGCGGCUGUCUGGUCUGCAACUGACGCUGAGGCUCGAAAGCAUGGGUAGCGAACAGGAUUAGAUACCCUGGUAGUCCAUGCCGUAAACGAUGAUUACUAAGUGUUGGAGGGUUUCCGCCCUUCAGUGCUGCAGCUAACGCAUUAAGUAAUCCGCCUGGGGAGUACGACCGCAAGGUUGAAACUCAAAAGAAUUGACGGGGGCCCGCACAAGCGGUGGAGCAUGUGGUUUAAUUCGAAGCUACGCGAAGAACCUUACCAGGUCUUGACAUCUUCUGACAGUCUAAGAGAUUAGAGGUUCCCUUCGGGGACAGAAUGACAGGUGGUGCAUGGUUGUCGUCAGCUCGUGUCGUGAGAUGUUGGGUUAAGUCCCGCAACGAGCGCAACCCUUAUUACUAGUUGCCAGCAUUAAGUUGGGCACUCUAGUGAGACUGCCGGUGACAAACCGGAGGAAGGUGGGGACGACGUCAAAUCAUCAUGCCCCUUAUGACCUGGGCUACACACGUGCUACAAUGGAUGGUACAACGAGUCGCGAGACCGCGAGGUUAAGCUAAUCUCUUAAAACCAUUCUCAGUUCGGACUGUAGGCUGCAACUCGCCUACACGAAGUCGGAAUCGCUAGUAAUCGCGGAUCAGCAUGCCGCGGUGAAUACGUUCCCGGGCCUUGUACACACCGCCCGUCACACCAUGAGAGUUUGUAACACCCAAAGCCGGUGGGGUAACCUUUUAGGAGCUAGCCGUCUAANNUGGGACAGAUGAUUAGGGUGAAGUCGUACAGGG